UCCAUCAUACGCCGUGACUGCAUGUG
RNAcentral lists this non-coding RNA (26 nucleotides) under Homo sapiens (human). The record is from RNAcentral. Lineage: Eukaryota; Metazoa; Chordata; Mammalia; Primates; Hominidae.